UGGAGCGGAAGACGGGAUUCGAACCCGCGACCCCAACCUUGGCAAGGUUGUAUUCUACCACUGAACUACUUCCGC
RNAcentral lists this transfer RNA (75 nucleotides) under Bacillus pseudomycoides. Its description in RNAcentral is "tRNA-Gly". The record is from RNAcentral. Lineage: Bacteria; Bacillati; Bacillota; Bacilli; Caryophanales; Bacillaceae. RNAcentral also lists the same sequence under 18 other names.